GGCGGACGGGUGAGUAACGCGUGGGAACCUGCCCUGGAGCGGGGGACAACCACUGGAAACGGUGGCUAAUACCGCAUACGCCCUCAGGGGGAAAGGCUUCGGCCACUCUAAGACGGUCCCGCGUCUGAUUAGCUUGUUGGUAAGGUAACGGCUUACCAAGGCGACGAUCAGUAGCUGGUCUGAGAGGAUAAUCAGCCACACUGGGACUGAGACACGGCCCAGACUCC
This 227-nucleotide ribosomal RNA is filed under the name uncultured bacterium. Its description in RNAcentral is "partial 16S ribosomal RNA". It matches the Rfam family "Bacterial small subunit ribosomal RNA", at positions 97 to 339 of the family's 1533-position model. The record is from RNAcentral.